Small RNA from Shewanella oneidensis MR-1, 159 nucleotides. Lineage: Bacteria; Pseudomonadati; Pseudomonadota; Gammaproteobacteria; Alteromonadales; Shewanellaceae. The record is from Rfam.
CCAUAAAAAAAGGCCCAAAACGAGUCUAGCUGUUUGGGCCUAGGGGAAUGGCUCGUUAAAGAGCCGUGCGCUACAGAUGAAAGCGCCAUAUAGCGCGCUUUACAAUAGACUCAGUGUAGUUGAGUUUUGAGUGAGUGACACUUUCUCCUUCCCCUUUUU